CCUACGGGAGGCAGCAGUGAGGAAUAUUGGUCAAUGGACGAGAGUCUGAACCAGCCAAGUAGCGUGAAGGAUGACUGCCCUAUGGGUUGUAAACUUCUUUUAUAUGGGAAUAAAAUGUUCCACGUGUGGGAUUUUGUCUGUACCAUAUGAAUAAGGAUCGGCUAACUCCGUGCCAGCAGCCGCGGUAAUACGGAGGAUCCGAGCGUUAUCCGGAUUUAUUGGGUUUAAAGGGAGCGUAGGUGGAUUGUUAAGUCAGUUGUGAAAGUUUGCGGCGCAACCGUAAAAGUGCAGUUGAAACUGGCAGUCUUGAGUACAGUAGAGGUGGGCGGAAUUCGGGGUGUAGCGGUGAAAUGCUUAGAUAUCACGAAGAACUCCGAUUGCGAAGGCAGUUCACUGGACUGCAACUGACACUGAGGCUCGAAAGUGUGGGUAUCAAACAGGAUUAGAUACCCCAGUAGUC
RNAcentral lists this ribosomal RNA (460 nucleotides) under uncultured bacterium. RNAcentral describes it as "partial 16S ribosomal RNA". It matches the Rfam family "Bacterial small subunit ribosomal RNA", at positions 338 to 795 of the family's 1533-position model. The record is from RNAcentral.